AGGACAGAUGCCAGGACAGAUCCAUUGCUCACAGCAAAGAGAGACAUUGUUUGAUGUCACAACACCAAAGGAAUUUGAACGAGCCAGACACCAGUUGAUAGCCUCAUUCUGUGGUAUAAAUAAAGACUUCGAAAACCAUUACACAGAGACUUACCACACCAGCGCCAUACCCUUUGGUUAUUUUUCUCCCAGACAGAUGAGACAACCUCUGCGUGACCCUGGCCAGGCCCAAGGGAAAGAGUAAUAUCCACUCUUCUGUCCACAGCCACAACAUCUACAUUAGUGGCCUCCUCUAGCUCCAGAGUCUCAAAGUCCCACUACUCAAAGACAUCGGGGGCUGGACAGAUACCUGGUGUGAUAAAGAGAGAGAAAGAAAGAGAAAGACCAAAAAGUGAGGGUGUGCAGCGUCACCUCCUGCCCACUGGGAGGCAGUGAAGCACACCGGGAUGAGGAAGGCGUCACUGCGGAUGGUGCUGCAGGACUGGGGGAAUCACCCGCAGAAGCUGCUGUACACCGUCUGGACCAGGGUACUGGGGAACUCCUCGAGGAAAUACUACUAUUUAGAAUAUGAUGUUAUAAUAUACUGUAUGAUAUCAAUAUGGAAAAUGGUUUGAUCAUAUAGGCCACAGGUAUCCUAGUGGUUAUGAGCAUUGGGCCACUAACCGGAAGGUUGCUGGUUUGAAUCCCUGACUAGGUGAAAAAUCUGUUGAUGUGUGUCCUUGAGCAAGGCAACACUAGUUUCUCUGGAAAAGAGCAUCUGCUAAGUAACUCAACUGUAAACAUAAAAAACACUGUGCUCAGUUGAAUCGUACAAUACUGAAUGUUGUGUGCGGGAUUAUUCCUUAUCAUUGUACACAGGAGAGGAACAACUACAGGUUCCACGUCAGUAGACUGCACUGCAGGGAUCAUCAACUAGAUUCAGCAGCGGACCGAUUUACUAAAAUCUUGAGAGGAUAUUUUUCCACACAGAUAUGAUAGUUGACAAAAAAAAACAAUCAGGGGCCUCCCGGGUGGCGCAGUGGUCUAGGGCUGCCACCAGAGACCCUGGGUUCGCGCCCAGGCUAUGUCGCAGCCGGCCGCGACCGGGAGGCCCAUGGGGCGACGCACAAUUGGCCUAGCGUCGUCCGGGUUAGGGAGGGCUUGGCCGGUAGGGAUAUCCUUGUCUCAUCGUGCACUAGCAACUCCUGUGGCGGGUUGGGUGCAGUGCGUGCUAACCAAGGUCACCAGGUGCUUGGUGCAUGGUGUUUCCUGAGGCUGGCUUCCGGGUUGGAUGCGCGCUGUGUUAAGAAGCAGUGCGGCUUGGCUGGGUUGUGUUUCGGAGGACACAUGGCUUUCGACCUUCACCUCUCCCGAGCCCGUAUGGGAGUUGUAGCAAUGAGACAAGAUAGUAACUACUAACAAUUGGAUACCAUGAAAAGGGGGUAAAAUUCAAAUAAAACACAAUAAUUUAAAAACAUUAUAAUCACAUAUCUCUCUAUUAUGCGUAGGAAUACUUUGGAACAGAUUUCCAAAAUUCAAAUCACUUGGAGAUGAUUUGCUGGUGUUUUUACAGUCGUGUCCAACAAGUAAAAAUCAAAGAAAGUCUCCUCCAUGAUAGAAACGGGAUACUUUGGAACAUUACCUUGUACCUAGGCUACAGGAAAGGGUUCAAAUUGGUUCAAAAUCCACUGAGGAAUAUUGAACAUUAAAAAUGAAUGUUAAAGAGCUAUAUAGCCUGAGUAUCAAACUCAUGUUUCAGAUUCAACACUCCACAAUUGUCUCACAAAAGCAGACAUGUUGGAUAGAGCAGAAAAGACUCAAACUGCUUAAAUUCAGGAAGUCAUAUUUGAUUAUGAGGAGCUUCCUGACAGACGGGGCAGUGCUGUAUCUUGUGGGUGAGUUGUGGCUGUGCCCUCACUACGUGGAUGACGAUGGUAGAGAAGGCGAUGCUGUGUGACAGGGGCACUGGCAUGUCGUCUCUGAACCCUGGGUAUUGAUACAGCUCCACCAGCUUGGGCAUGCUCUCCUCACGCUGAGGGUUAGAGAGAGAAAGCAGAAAGAUACACAUCAUAUCUCAAUGGGCACAAUUGGAAAAUGAUGUCAUUGGGACUUCCCAUACCCACUUUUGCCUGCUGGACAACACGCAUUGCUAUUUGAACACAAACACAAAAGAUUAUCAGUUGAAUUCAGUCACAAAGCUGUUGAAUGUGAUACAUAUGUUACUGUACAGAAGGGCCUAUGUCAUUAAUUCCAUGAUGUAUUUAGGAGAACACCAUUGACUAGUCAGCCUCAGGUUGUGGCCUACUUAUCUUUACCAGCUCUCGCUGAUUAUAGAUCAAAACACAAUUUACAUAAUAGGCAGGUGACAUUUGGGUUUCACAAGCGAUACGUCACUCCUCAUCAUUGUGACCUCUAACCCAUGACCUUUGACAAAUCGUUAUAGUAUUUUUUUGUUGCAACUCAUAAAAUAGAUGAACUGCUCCUACUGUACAUUCAUUUCCUCUCAUUCUUUAUCAAUGUAAUGCAUGGAGAACAUCAUGUGUAACAAUGUUCAGGUAACCUCUGUGAAAUUAGCUAAUGAUCAAGGUCAGUGUUUCUAUUCGAAAAAUUUGUCAAUAACUUUUACUCUGUGCACUUGUAAAUGAGUUACUUUUUACUUUUACUUGAUUCUGUUUUUUUUACACCAUUAGUUUUACGUCUAUGUGAGUACAAAUUAAUUCAAGUAAAAGUAGCCUACUUCUAAUUGAGUAGGAUAUUUCAGGACUCUUUCCACCCCCGUGGGCAUAGAAAGCCAAGCAUCCCAUACUUGGCCCUCUGUAAUAGCAGCUAGGUGAGUAUGCAGCAUUGGUCCGUGGUCAUAAAACACAGGCAGCAUCCAGUUGAUACAAAUACUAACUAUGAGGUGUGUGUGUGUGUGUGUGUGUGUGUGUGUGUGUGUGUGUGUGUGUGUGUGUGUGUG
Oncorhynchus tshawytscha (Chinook salmon) is the source of this 2938-nucleotide long non-coding RNA. The record is from Ensembl. NCBI's taxonomy places the organism in Eukaryota, Metazoa, Chordata, Actinopteri, Salmoniformes, Salmonidae.